Molecule: long non-coding RNA, 2304 nt
Filed under: Olea europaea subsp. europaea
Lineage: Eukaryota; Viridiplantae; Streptophyta; Magnoliopsida; Lamiales; Oleaceae
Source: RNAcentral
UUAUUUUUCAUGCAGAUUCUUGUUCCUUGAUUCACUGUUUUUUCGUUAGUAAAUAAGUCUAAAAGUAGUGGCAAUAAUAUCCUAUAUUAGUUGAGAUUUUUUAGCUUUUCAAUUUGCUUGUAGGCCUAUAUAUAGGCACCUUCAGUUCUAGAAUAAAACAAGCUGCAUUUCUUAGUGUUAUUUUCUUUCUGUAACUUCCUUUUUUCAAUACUCUACUACUCUAAAUUCCCAACAUUUGUGUAAUCAGAGCACAGUUCAGAUUCAAUAGAGUUUAGUGAUGUAAAACACUUGGGAGAAAGAGAGAAACACCAUGGCUUUGAAUGAAAAUUCACUGAGCAUUUCACGACCUGCCAUCCUUAUUUUUAAAGGAGAGAGUUAUGGAUUUUGGAGUAUUAAAAUGAACACUCUAUUUAAGUCUCAAGACCUAUGGGACUUGGUAAAGAAUGUGUUUACUCAUCCAUAUGAAGAAAAUGGAUUGCGGGAAAACAAAAAGAGGGACUCAAAGGCAUUGUUCGUCAUCCAACAAGCAAUUUAUGAUACUGUUUUCUCAAGAAUUGCAGCAGCUAACACUUCGAAGGAAGCAUAGACAAAUUUUCAAACUGAGUUUCAAGGAUCAUGAAAAGUAAUAGUCAUGAUACUCCUAACUCAUUGGCAUGAGUUUGAAACAAUUCUCAUGAAAGGCAAUGUAUCAGUGCAACAUUUUUUAUUUUUUUUUGUCUAGAGUGGUGGCAAUUAUUAGUAAAAUGAGGUCAUAUGGAGACAAAAUAACCGAUCAAACAGUAGUUGAAAAAGUGUCAAGGAGUUUAACUCCUAAGUUUUAUCAUGUUGUAGCUACUAUUGAGGAGUCCAAAGGCAUGUCGAACUUUUCAUUUGACGAAUUGACAUUAAUGAAGUUCAUUAGUAAGUUAUUGAAGAGAGUAAGUUAUCAUGGCCCUUUAUGACAGAAGUUCCAGCUGAUGUUUGGUUUGUAGAUAGUGGUUGCUCCAAUCAUAAAUCAGGGAUGAAUGCAUUAUACAAACAGCUUGAUGAGACUAAAAAAAUGAAUGUCAAGCUGGGUGAUAAUAAAGAAAUUCAGGUUCAAGGAAAAUACACAGUAGCAAUCAAAACUAGCCAUGGUGAGGUAAAACUUCUGCAUAAUGUUCAAUUUGUUCCUAGUUUGGCAAUAAUUUAUUAAGUGUUGGGCAAUUAAUGGCUAGUGGAUAUUCAAUUUUAUUUGAUGAUGGAGCAUGUGUUAUCAGAGACAAACAAUGGUUAAUAUUCACAUGAAAUAAAAUGUUGGUGAACAAAAAUGACGCGAAAUUGUGGCACUUGUGGUAUGGACAUCUUAAUGCGGGGGGCAAAAAUUGCUGGGUCAAAAACGUAUGGUUCUUGGAUUACCAAAAAUCGAUUCUUUUGAUUUAUGUGAGGGGUGCAUUAAUGGGAAGCAAACUAGAAAAUCAUUUCCUAUUGAAAAGGCUUGGAGGGCUUCUACUUGUCUUGAAUUAAUUCAUUUGUAUGGGCCUAUGAACAUAGAAUCAUUUAGAGGGUGUCGUAAUUUUAUACGUUUUAUUGAUGAUUUCAAUCGCAUGAGCUGGGUGUAUUUUUUGAAGUACAAAUAAGAUACUUUUGAAAAUUUCACAAAAUUCAAGGCUUUAGUAAAGAAGCAAAGUGGGUCCUACAUGAAAGCUCUUCGUAUAGGCAGAAGUGGUGAGUUCUUGUCUAAUGAAUUUAAGCACUUUUGCGAAUUCGCAGGGAAUUAACAGCACGUUACACACCAAAGCAAAAUGAAGUGGUUGAAUGAAAGAACUAUACCGUUCUUGAAAUUGCAAUAAGUUUACUAAAAGGAAAGGGACGUCCAAGUCAGUAUUGGGCAGAAGCAAUUACUACUUCAAUGUAUCUACCGAAUAUUUCUCCUACAAAAGUUGUCUUGAAUCAAACACCAUAUGAAACUCUAAAAGGUACAAAGCCUUUGGUAAGCCACUUAAGAAUUUUUUAGUGGUGAAGUGAUUGCUAGCAGAAAUGUAAUCUUUAGUGAGCAUGCUAGAUUUGAAGCAGCAACAGUGAGGAAACACAACUUGAAACCUCAUUGAACGAAGUAGUGGACCCAAUACUAGCAAACUCAACAAAUUCAUCUCCCUCAAGUUCAUCUACUACAAAUUCAAUAGAUAGUAGUUCAUCUUCGAAUGAGUCAUCCGGUGAGACUCCUCCAAGGGAAUUCAGAUCUUUGAAAGAGAUCUAUGAAUCUUGUGCAUUUGCUUAUUUGUUAUAAAUCCUACAACUUAUGAAGAAGCGGCGAAAAUGGAAGAGUGGCAAAAUGCAAUGAAG